This 1611-nucleotide ribosomal RNA is filed under the name Triticum aestivum (bread wheat). Its description in RNAcentral is "partial small subunit ribosomal RNA". Lineage: Eukaryota; Viridiplantae; Streptophyta; Magnoliopsida; Poales; Poaceae. The record is from RNAcentral.
AUGUCUCUUGUCCGUGAUGAUCUUGCUUGGAAAAUAUGGCUCCACCUGGCCCAGUCGCGCCUUUCCCUCAUCCACACCAACCGGUCGCCCGAAUCUCGAGCGCCACUCAUGGCCUCCUCCGCCUUGUCCGGCACCCACCAUCGCCUCCUCCCCUGUUUCCUGCGCCGCCUCCCCCGGCCCCGCACGCGCUCGUGCUCCCGCCUCCGCCUCGCCGCCUGCCAUGCCGACACCCUCCUUUCCUCCUCCGGGACCCAGAGGCCUCCCGCCCCCGCGGCGUGCUCGUCCGCAUCCUCCGCUGGCGGGUUCUCUGACUGGCUACUCACGAAUGGGCUGCCGCCGGGCAAGGUGGCCAUCCUGGAGCGCCCCGUCCCGUGCUCUCGCGGGGGCAAAGACCGGCCAUUACACUUCGUCGCUGCUGGGCAGGACCUCGAGGCGGGGGAUGUGGCGUUCGAGGUGCCCAUGUCGCUCGUUGUCACGCUGGAGCGGGUUCUCGGCGACGAGUCGGUUGCUGAAUUGUUAACAACAAACAAAUUGUCUGAGCUGGCAUGCUUGGCAUUGUAUCUCAUGUAUGAGAAGAAGCAAGGAAGAGAUUCACUUUGGUACCCGUAUAUUAAAGAACUUGAUCGUCAGCGAGGCAGGGGGCAACUAGCUGUUGAAUCACCUCUUUUAUGGACUGAAAGUGAACUGGAUUACCUGAAUGGCAGCCCCAUGAGGGAUGAAGUUGUUGUUAGAGAUGAGGGAAUAAGAAGAGAGUAUAAUGAGCUUGAUACAUUGUGGUUCAUGGCAGGUUCAUUGUUUAAGCAAUACCCUUUUGAUGUACCUACUGAGGCGUUUCCGUUUGAGAUCUUCAAGCAGGCAUUUGUUGCAGUACAGUCUUGUGUGGUUCAUUUGCAGAAGGUUAGUUUAGCUCGAAGAUUUGCACUAGUUCCCUUGGGCCCACCACUGUUGACGUACAAGAGCAACUGCAAAGCAAUGCUGACUGCUGUUGAUGGUUCUGUUCGAUUGCUGGUCGAUCGGCCGUACAAAGCAGGAGAACCGAUAAUUGUUUGGUGUGGGCCUCAACCAAACUCCAGGUUGCUUCUCAAUUAUGGUUUUGUUGAUGAAGACAAUCCAUAUGAUCGCAUAGCAAUCGAGGCAUCCCUAAACACUGAAGAUCCUCAAUACCAAGAGAAGAGAAUGGUCGCUCAAAGAAAUGGAAAGCUUGCUAUCCAAAAAUUCCAAGUCUGUGUAGGCAAAGAGAAGGAAACUAUUUCUGAAAUGCUGCCAUACUUGAGACUAGGAUACAUUUCAGAUCCAGAUGAAAUGCAAUGUAUACUUUCGUCAGAAGGUGAUACAUGUCCAGUUAGUCCAUGCUCAGAGCGAGCUGUACUUGACCAACUUGUUGUCUACCUGAAAUCAAGAUUGGCUGGUUAUCCGACUACUUUGGACGAGGACGAAGCAAUGUUGGCCGAUGGCAGUUUGGAACCAAAGAAAGAAGUUGCUACUAGACUUGUAAGGUUAGAGAAGAAAAUGCUGCAUGGCUGUCUUCAGGCUGCUAACGAGUUCAUAAGUGGCUUGCCUGAUCAUACCGUAUCACCUUGCCCUGCUCUAUAUGCUCCUGAAUUGAAAUAA